UACGAAGGGGGCUAGCGUUGCUCGGAAUCACUGGGCGUAAAGGGCGCGUAGGCGGCCAUUCAAGUCGGGGGUGAAAGCCUGUGGCUCAACCACAGAAUUGCCUUCAAUACUGUUUGGCUUGAGUUUGGUAGAGGUUGGUGGAACUGCGAGUGUAGAGGUGAAAUUCGUAGAUAUUCGCAAGAACACCAGUGGCGAAGGCGGCCCGCUGGGCAGUGGCUGACGCUGAGGCGCGACAGCGUGGGGAGCAAACAGG
This 253-nucleotide ribosomal RNA is filed under the name uncultured bacterium. Its description in RNAcentral is "partial 16S ribosomal RNA". It matches the Rfam family "Bacterial small subunit ribosomal RNA", at positions 524 to 776 of the family's 1533-position model. The record is from RNAcentral.